UUUUAGUGGCGGACGGGUGAGUAACGCGUGGGUAACCUGCCUCACACUGGGGGAUAACACUUAGAAAUAGGUGCUAAUACCACAUAAGCGCACGGGACUGCAUGGUCUUGUGUGAAAAACUCCGGUGGUGUGAGAUGGACCCGCGUCUGAUUAGCUGGUUGGCGGGGUAACGGCCCACCAAGGCGACGAUCAGUAGCCGGCCUGAGAGGGUGGACGGCCACAUUGGGACUGAGACACGGCCCAAACUCCUACGGAAGGCAGCAG
RNAcentral lists this ribosomal RNA (264 nucleotides) under uncultured bacterium. RNAcentral's name for it is "partial 16S ribosomal RNA". It matches the Rfam family "Bacterial small subunit ribosomal RNA", at positions 90 to 354 of the family's 1533-position model. The record is from RNAcentral.